GACGAACGCUGGCGGCGUGCUUAACACAUGCAAGUCGAACGGAAAGGCCCUGCUUUUGUGGGGUGCUCGAGUGGCGAACGGGUGAGUAACACGUGAGUAACCUGCCCUUGACUUUGGGAUAACUUCAGGAAACUGGGGCUAAUACCGGAUAGGAGCUCCUGCUGCAUGGCGGGGGUUGGAAAGUUUCGGCGGUUGGGGAUGGACUCGCGGCUUAUCAGCUUGUUGGUGGGGUAGUGGCUUACCAAGGCUUUGACGGGUAGCCGGCCUGAGAGGGUGACCGGCCACAUUGGGACUGAGAUACGGCCCGGAGUCCUACGGGAGGCAGCAGUGGGGAAUAUUGCACAAUGGGCGGAGGCCGGAUGCAGCAACGCCGCGUGCGGGAUGACGGCCUUCGGGUUGUAAACCGCUUUCGCCUGUGACGAAGCGUGAGUGACGGUAAUGGGUAAAGAAGCACCGGCUAACUACGUGCCAGCAGCCGCCGUAA
RNAcentral lists this ribosomal RNA (484 nucleotides) under uncultured bacterium. RNAcentral describes it as "partial 16S ribosomal RNA". It matches the Rfam family "Bacterial small subunit ribosomal RNA", at positions 28 to 523 of the family's 1533-position model. The record is from RNAcentral.